Pelobates cultripes (western spadefoot toad) is the source of this 537-nucleotide non-coding RNA. NCBI's taxonomy places the organism in Eukaryota, Metazoa, Chordata, Amphibia, Anura, Pelobatidae. The record is from the annotation of a GenBank genome assembly.
CACACACUCACACAGAGACAGUCCCACACUCACAGGCAGUCACACACUCACACAGAGACAGUCACACACUCACAGACAGUCACACACAGACAGUCACACACAGACAGUCAUACACUCACACAGAGACAGUCAUACACUCACAGACAGUCAUACACUCACAGACAGUCAUACACUCACAGACAGUCACACACUCACACAGACAGUCACACACUCACACAGACAGUCACACACUCACAGGCAGUCUCACACAGACAGUCACACACUCACAGAGACAGUAACACACUCACACACAGUCACACACUCACACAGAGACAGUCACACACUCACACAGAGACAGUCACACAGAGACAGUCCCACACUCACAGGCAGUCACACACUCACACAGAGACAGUCCCACACUCACAGGCAGUCACACACUCACACAGAGACAGUCCCACACUCACAGGCAGUCACACACUCACACAGAGACAGUCCCACACUCACAGGCAGUCCCACACUCACACAGAGACAGUCACACACUCACAGGCAGUCACACAC